Molecule: small nucleolar RNA, 104 nt
Filed under: Carlito syrichta (Philippine tarsier)
Lineage: Eukaryota; Metazoa; Chordata; Mammalia; Primates; Tarsiidae
Description: Small nucleolar RNA U13 (ENSTSYG00000031124.1)
Rfam family: Small nucleolar RNA U13
Source: Rfam by way of RNAcentral
AUCUUUUUGUGGUUCAUAAGCGUGAUGAUUGAGUGUUCAUGCUCUUGUGUGAGAUGUGCCUCCCUUGAGCCUUGUUAUGACGUUGACACAUUAUCCAUCUGAUG